CGCUGGAUCGUGGAGGAGCGGGCGGACGCCACCAACGUCAACAACUGGCACUGGACGGAGAGAGAUGCUUCAAAUUGGUCCACGGAUAAGCUGAAAACACUGUUCCUGGCAGUGCAGGUUCAAAAUGAAGAAGGCAAGUGUGAGGUGACGGAAGUGAGUAAGCUUGAUGGAGAGGCAUCCAUUAACAAUCGCAAAGGGAAACUUAUCUUCUUUUAUGAAUGGAGCGUCAAACUAAACUGGACAGGUACUUCUAAGUCAGGAGUACAGUACAAAGGACAUGUGGAGAUCCCCAAUUUGUCUGAUGAAAACAGCGUGGAUGAAGUGGAGAUUAGUGUGAGCCUUGCCAAAGAUGAGCCUGACACAAAUCUCGUGGCCUUAAUGAAGGAAGAAGGGGUGAAACUUCUAAGAGAAGCAAUGGGAAUUUACAUCAGCACCCUCAAAACAGGUAUCCCUUGAGUAGUUCUGUAUGCCUUAAGGAGGUAGUUUCCACCUGUUAGACUCUGAUUAAGGGCCUGGACAGUCCUUUCUUUGGCAAAUGGGUAAAGAUUUGGGGGGAGGGGGCUUAUUUCAUCUUAAAGUCAGUCCAUAAGCUCAGAGUAAGGGAAAGAUCUGGAGCUGUGUUGUCUAAUAUUGAUGGUUGAGCAUUUUAGAUGUGGCUAGACCAAACUGAGAUGUGCUGUGAGGGCCCGGCGCGGUGGCUCACACUUGUAAUCCCAGCACUGUUGGAGGCUGAGGUGGGCUGAUUGCCUGAGCUCAGGAAUUUGAGACCAGCCUGGGCAACAUGGCG
RNAcentral lists this small RNA (787 nucleotides) under Pan troglodytes (chimpanzee). RNAcentral's name for it is "retained intron". Lineage: Eukaryota; Metazoa; Chordata; Mammalia; Primates; Hominidae. The record is from RNAcentral.